This is a non-coding RNA of Gossypium raimondii (Peruvian cotton), 77 nucleotides long. The record is from Rfam. NCBI's taxonomy places the organism in Eukaryota, Viridiplantae, Streptophyta, Magnoliopsida, Malvales, Malvaceae.
GCAAUAACUCCGCCUGUGGAAACACUAAAUAUUUGUGAAACAGCCGGUCCCAAGCCCGGAUAAAGGAGGAGGGUUGC